GGACCGUUAGCUCAGUAGGUCAGAGCAACCAUUUAUGAAUUUUUUAUAGGGACGUAUCCCCUCAAGCUUAUACCUUGUAGAAAGGGUAAUCGGUCGCAUGUGGGUUCAAUCCCCAUCGUCCCUA
RNAcentral lists this transfer RNA (124 nucleotides) under Bacteriophage sp. RNAcentral describes it as "tRNA-His". The record is from RNAcentral.